This 399-nucleotide unclassified non-coding RNA is filed under the name Hevea brasiliensis (rubber tree). Lineage: Eukaryota; Viridiplantae; Streptophyta; Magnoliopsida; Malpighiales; Euphorbiaceae. The record is from RNAcentral.
CAGAAACUCAGUCUCCGAAAGAAACCAAGCAGUACCAAUCAGAAAACCAAGCAAUACCGAUCAACCUUCUCCUUCACCAGCCACCGUUUUGCAAUCAGAAUAGCCCCACACCACUGCUAGAAUACUCGCUGGCUUGUGGUGAGUCCAGAGCUGCCCUUUCGGCCUCCAGAAAUUGGCUGAAACUCCAGAUCUGAUCGGGUUGGAUUUCUACUCGAAUAUCAACCCACUGGAAUUUCAGAUUUUCCGGCCAUCUGACCCUCCCCAACCCUUCAAUGGCUAAUCUGCCCAUCUUUAUUGUCAGAACUGUUGUAUGACUUCCAAGCUGCAAAAAUCUAUUGGGUCAAGUCAAGGAAUAUGCUGGAUUCUAUUUUUUCUAUGAAAAUGACUCCUAAAUUGCUG